AUUGAACGCUGGCGGCAGGCUUAACACAUGCAAGUCGAGCGAGCGGCGGACGGGAGUGUAAUGUCUGGAAAACUGCCUGAUGGAGGGGGAAAACUUCUGGAAAGUGUAGCUUACCCCGUAUACCAUCGGAUGUGCCAAGAUGGGUAUAGCUAGUAGGUGGGGUAAAGGCUCACCUAGGCGAAGAUCCCUAGCUGGUCUGAGAGGAUGACCAGCCACACUGGAACUGAGACACGGUCCAGACUCCUACGGGAGGCAGCAGUGGGGAAUAUUGCACAAUGGGCGCAAGCCUGAUGCAGCCAUGCCGCGUGUAUGAAGAAGGCCUUCGGGUUGUAAAGUACUUUCAGCGGGGAGGCGUUACCCGCAGAAGAAGCACCGGCUAACUCCGUGCCAGCAGCCGCGGUAAUUC
This 406-nucleotide ribosomal RNA is filed under the name uncultured bacterium. Its description in RNAcentral is "partial 16S ribosomal RNA". It matches the Rfam family "Bacterial small subunit ribosomal RNA", at positions 30 to 526 of the family's 1533-position model. The record is from RNAcentral.